UUUUUUUUUUUUUUUUUUUUUUUUCGUGAAGCUCUAAUAUUAUUGUGAGAUGUGAAGAAAGCAAGCCAUAUUUUUCAAAGGAAAGCAAUAAAUAAAUGCCUUCAUUUCUUGAUUUGAAAAUAAAAUUCCUAUAAAAUCAAAAGUGAUAAUAUGUAUGGCAGUAUUUGUGCACUAUAUUUAUUUUACUACUGGGUGAUGCCAGUCCUCACUCACAUCCUGAUAAGAAAAGCUAUCUAAGGGUAAACCCAUCUUCUUUGUUCCUUAACCACCCAUUUGAUAUGCCAAAAAUUAUAUUAAUAAAUAAAUAUAGAAAGUUAUUUUAGUAAUAUAUUUGUUAACUUUUAUAUUUGGAGGCCUAUUUCAGAAGAACUUCCACAUACUUGAAUAUACUUUGCAAAUGUAAAUUCAAGUAUAUUAUACCAUUUUUUGAUGGUAUUUUUUUUGCCUGGGUAAAUGGUUUCAUGUCAUAGAACAAAAGUAGCUUUUAGUUCCCAAUCUGAAAUUUCAGUUAUGCGCAGCAUAAUUAUUUCACAGUUAUAACUAACAACUUUUUUAUUUUAAAAAAAGAAAAAAAAAUGAAAUAUAUAAGCUACAGUAAUAAUGUAAAUAUUUUUCCUUGUAUAAUAGAAAUAAGAGUAUGUAUCAUUUAAUAGUAUUUUAAUAGUAACAUGUAGUCUUUCAACCAAACUUUUGUGACCUAACCUCACCCUCUACAUGCAGGUGUCAAAUACACUAACAUACAUCCAGAAUAAAUACCAUCCACUGCUCCAAGUUAACAAACAUCCUGCAAGCAGUCAAUUUACACCAAAUUUCUACACAUGUCUGUUUCAGGUUCUUUCUAUUUCAAUUGUUUCUGUUAUACCAAAAAGGAAAUUGGAGAGGGUAGCAUAUUAUUAUUGUAUGUUAAACAACUAAGUAACAUGUUUUAAUAGGGAGACCCAGAAUUUUCCUGUUAUGAAGCAGAAAAUCAAAAAUAUAUUUUUGGUGUUAGGUAUAUCAUCCUUCCUCUGAAAUAAAGGUUGGAAUUUGAUAAGGUCUAACCUUCAAAAGCCUCCAAAUCAAAUUUAGGCAUUAAAGCUAACAAGAUUUUCGAAAAUCUAGUACAAAGAAGCUGGACACCUGAAAGAUGUAAAGUAUUACUCAGAUACUAAGUAUUAUUAUUUAAAAUGCUGAAAUAUUUUAAAACAACCAAAAUAUUGACUAAGCUUCUUGAAUUUCCUUUUAUGAUAUGAAGAAAUUUCACCAUAGCAGGGUACUGAGAUUGCUCUCUGUACACUUCUGGAAUGUGGGCCAGCGCUGGUGGUGGGGAUCUCAGCAGCAGUGACAUGAGAGUUCAGGUUCAGAGAGCUGUUGAGCCUACACCAAGACUCGGAAAGGCAUUGCAAGGGUACCAGGUCACAGUGCCAGCAUUGCUGGAUCCACGCUUUUGAAUCUCUGCCACCUAUAGCAAUGAGGAUUUCUGCCAGAGCUCCAAGCUGCCAUUAGGGUUAGGGGUAGGUUGUAGAGAGUAAAAGGUGCAAAACAUACACCAAGAGGAUCAUGUCAGAGCCACAAGGCUGCUGCCUCUUCACUUUGCAAAUUGGUUUCAUGUUUGGGGAUGGGCACCUCUGCUGUGCUCUCAAGACUGCUUAUGGGUUAGCAUGAAAAAUCAUUUUAAUCUCUGGCCCCUGUGACAAUGAGAACCUCUGCCACAGUGCCAAGCUGCCAUUAGGGCUAGGGUUAAGGUUAAGGUUAGGAUUUGGGUUAGGGUUGAGAGAAUAACAGAGCUUACAGCUCCAGGAUCACUGUGGCUGGAAGAGACAUCCCAAGGUGAUCGUGGUAGGGUCCCAAUCUAGCUGCUCCUACGUCUUUCUAAUCUGGACUACCCAUGGUGACAGGGACCUCAGCCCCAGCAACAAGAUGCUUUUAGGCUAAGAUUUAGAGUUGGGAGAGUAAAAGAGCCUAGAACUCCAUGGACACUGGGGCUGGAAAACACAUGCCAAGAGGACCACAGCCAGGGCAUAACUCAGCUGCCUCCUCACCUUGCAGAUUAGCUUCAUGCAUGGAGAUGAGCACCUCCGCUGUAGACCUCAGCUUGCUGAUAGGUUAAUGUGAAAAAAAACCAGUUGAAAAUUAAUAGCACUUGUUAAGCAAACCUUAGGUAAUAUCUUCCUAUAAUCCUAGUUAGUGUCUUUCUAUAUAGUUUGUGGUAACAUCGAAAGAUUUGCAUUUUAGAUUAAAAAAAGGAUUAAAAUAAAAUUCUGAAUUUAUCAAAGAGAUUAGCAUGUCCUGACCUCAAUAUAUUUGAUGUGAUGUUUAAUUUAAAUUAGUGUUUUACAUGACACUUAAUGAGAUAAUUUUGGAACAUAAUAGCAAUAUUGAAUGAAAUCUUGAACAAGGCUAUGAUUCAGACUAAUAACCUGAAGCCAUUCUAUGGCAAUGGUGCUGCUCAUUAUAAGCUACAGCCUGAGAGUUACUUCCUUAUGGGUAGAAUCUGAAGAAGAAUUAAUUUUGCAAAAUGAGUAGGGUCAGAAUAAAGUUACUUCUGGAAAUCUCUCUUGACCAGGUAAGUUGAAAUUGGAAGGAGACUGGACAGAAAGAGAUUUGGCUGCUACUUAACAAUUAAUUUUCUUAAUCUAUUUAUCAUGGUAUCUUUGAAUUAUGUACCAAUUAUUCCAUGUGCUACUGUAAGGCCCAAGUAUGAGAAGCAAGUGAACUAAAUUAUCUGGCAUUUGUCUUCAUGAGCUUCUGAGCUGUCAUAAGCUCUCUAGCACAGCAUGUGCCUUCAGUUGACACUUCUGCAAAAGUGACUUUGCAGCUUGAGCUUUUGUAGCAGCUCUUGUGUGUAGAGUGAUUGGGCAGGUCUUUGUGGCUGCCUUAGCUUGGUUACAGACUGACAUGAAGAGCAUGUCUUUCAUGCCUUUCAAGAACGAUGUGAACUUUGAGUCAGCUUUUAGGCCUUUCAUAAUUGUUCAGAUAUAAAGUGAAGACUUCAGUGAGAAAAUGAACUUUCAUUAUCCUGAAAAGCUAUAAUGGGUGCCAGAUAUAAAAUCAAAUUAAUAUUUAAUUUUUUUUUAACCAGUUUACCAUUUAAAUAUAAGGAGAGUAUAGCGAAGUGCCAAUAGUCUGUUUCUGGCUAUGCAGAACUCCUAAGUGUUUUCUGUGGAGCAGAUGCUCCUGGGAAGGAAUUUUUUUUUUAUUUUUUGGUAAGUAGUUGAAAUGGAUUUGCACUGAAUAGUGUGGUGAUGUCAGAGGGAGUUGGAAUUCACAAUACUGUGCAUGCCUCAAGUUUUAAUCUUCAGACUUGCAUAGUUUAAAAUUACAUCUGUCUGGAAUGUACCACUGAAAUGAUUUUUCCAACACUGUCUCCUGAUCCAAUGAGCUUUAAAUUAUUUCUUCAUGAAUUUUCAUGAGAAAAUUAAACUAGAUUUUGUUGCUAUGAAAGAAGGGAAAAUACAACAUUUAUAACCGCAGGAAUCAGACUCUCAUUUAACUAUAUUUAAAAUGUAAUUCUGAACCCUUGCUCUCAUUCUAUAGUGUCGUUCUCCUUAUAAAAGAGAAAGUAAGCCAAGAAUGUAUUUAUGGCCUACAGUAGCUGAAACAGCAGUUUGUUGGAAAGAUCGUGCCACAGCAACUGUGGAUGUGGGCUGGUUUUGGUGCCUGCCCCCCCCCAUUCCUGCCAGUUGCCAGGCAACACUGGCAGUCCCAGUAUGUCCUACACUGCAGAUCAAGCUUCCUCUGCACAUACCUUUUUUCAUCGUGACUUUAGCUAUUCCUGAUUCCAGCACAAUGGUGGUCUCUUUUUACACUGGAGCUGCCUUUAUAACCUAUUGAAGACCCCUCUAGUAACAACAAUUUACCCUUCACAUUCCUUUUCACUUCCAAUGUAACCUACAAAUACAGAAAUUGCUCUGUGAAAUACAAUCAUCUUUUGGAACAAAUGACUGUUUUGUCACAGCAGCAGAACUCACAGCUUUUUGGGAUAUAUAAUGAGAAACAAAACAGCUAUUUAAACGAUGGAAACAGCCUCUACAGUGGAUUUAAGUAGUCAGGAUUUAAUUAUACAGCUAUAGUUUAGUUAGAAUGAGGUUAAUGCUGCUGCUCUGAAGAUACUUUGUUUUCUUUAUGUCUGCUUUGAAAAUCAGGGUCAGUAAAGUUAUUUGGAAGCUAUUCAAACAAAAAGAGCACUGCCACUUAGCACUGCAACUUUUUGUAGUGUAUUUAAAAAUAACAGAUUGUCAUCUCAGUCUGUGUUAGAAAGAUGCAAGUUUUCCUCUGGCAGUCACUAAUUCAGUAAAUAACUUGCAUAAUAAGAUGGAUUUUCAAGUCACAAAGGUUUAGUAGUAGGCUGGGGUACCUGUAACCCUGUUCACGAGCUUCUCCUCAUGAACAGUUGUUGCAUAGGCUUGUUUGCUUUCUUAGUGAUACUUCUCAUCUUAUUUGGAUUGAAGUCUCUUGCUACUAUAGCUGGCAAUAUUAGUGUCAGAAUUAUUGUUGGCAGGCUGUAAAAAAACAGGAUCUGAAAGAAAGGACAGCAUCAGAAGCUAGUGAUUAGCAAAGAACACACAAUGCAUUACUCACAUUUGUGUAUCCAUAGACACUUUAACAACCUUGUUUUAAGAGCUAGGAUUAUUCACUUCAAAUAUCACUGCCCCCAUUAAUACCACAAUACUUUGGUUAUAAGUGCUGUUAUCUGAAACAUGGAUAUAAUAGAAACCUCUGAAUAAUAAAUAUGCAAUAAUUCUUCUGGGACAGUUUGAAUUCAAACUACAGUUGUACAAUUGUAGUUGAAGGCAAAAUCAUGUGAUAAAAGGGUGUCUCUUGCUCUACCUCAAACUUUAAAUUUAUUACUACAAGUAACACACUGUUAGCAGUUUGAAGCAGAAGAUCCAAAUACCCUGCAAGCUUUAUUGGCUGGAAUCUUGUGAAGAAUGCUAUCAUUGGUGCUAUUGUCAUCCUUCUGGAGUGAUAAGUGUCCAGUUUUGUAGUUACAGGUUGUUGCAAUAGAACCUGUUCAUGUUACUGCAACCUGGUUUUAUACUGCUGUAAACCUUCUCAUGCCUGUGUUUGUCAAGUCAUGAAGCUGCUUAGUAGGCUGUAGUUCACUUUGAUAAAGUACAGGCAAGGAGGGCUGCUCAGCAAAAAGAUUUUGUUGAAAUGCAGACAUUAUAAAUCCCUGGUCAUAUUUUAAAAAGGAAAACAACUGUCUUUUAAAUGUCUAUUUAAAUAUUAUGCAGCUUGUGUAAGUGUGCUAAAAUCUUUUCAAAGGAUUCCUCUUCAGAGUAAUUAGGAGGAGAAGGAGGUACCAUUUAAACUGUUCUUAUUUCUGUCAUAGAAUGUAAAUAACCCUCCAGUUUGGAAGAAAUCAAGUUUUCUAAAUUCUAUUUACUUGAGCCUAUGAUGGUUUAGUGAUCUCUUCUUGACAUAAGCAUCCAAGUUUAGGAGUCAAACAAUAUCUAAUUUUAUACUUGGGCUCAAGCAGGUAUGGUAGUGCACAGAUCUGCUUAAUGGCAGCUUCCUAAUAAUGCGACAAUAGACAUUAUGAGUUCAGUUGGCAGCCACCCCCUCACAGCGCCACCUACACAUUGCCAGAACCCAAAGCUGAAAUUUUAGAUUUAUAUUACGAGACAUAUAAAGCCAUUAAGAAAAACCUCUUCCUGUCAGUGACAAGAUGCUUUCAGAGCACUUUUUUCCAACCAACAAAUGAUCUUGAUUGGAAUCUUGGUACCACAUUAAUAUAUCAGUCUAGUGAUAAUUUUGCCUAUUUGUGAUAGGGAGGAAGUAAAAAUUUGAAGCUAUUAGAGUUGCAGCCAAUGAAACUCAAAUUUCUUCUCAAUCACUUUAACUCUUUUGAUCCUGUUAAUGUUUUUAAUUUCGCAGUGAAUACAUUUUUAUGCCUUGUAAGUUAGAAGAUAAAAUAUUUCAGUAUUGGAGUGUUAUACAAGAAGAGUUGCAUGCAGAAAGCUUUUAAACAUAACAUUAUUAAUUGAAGAAAAAUUCUCUAAAUAUAACAUUCUAGUCUUUAAAUUUAUGUGACUUAGCAAAUGAAUAUUUCCACUAUUAGAAAUUAUUUCUGUUUUUCUUUACUUGAAGUUGUAGCACUCUAAACCAAAGUUCAUUACAUGUCUGAAAAUUACCUUGUCAGGUAGGAGAGAAGUAGCUUGAUAGUCUCGCUUUAACUGUUCAAAAAGUGUGCUGCUCAAAAACUGUUUUGGUGAGUCUUAGGAAUUUCCCCAUACAUUGUUGUAUUGUUUAGAAGCCUCACAACCUAAUUUUUUUUCAUGUUUCAUUUUUUUUGUACAGCAAUGAAGAAAAGGUUACAAACAACUAUUACAUCAUCUCUACAAAUCUCAAAAACCACCAGAACUUAAAUGGGGGAAGAAGGCUGUGUGUUACUACAUAAUACAAAAGCUCUGCCUGCUCCUUUAUACCUGUGCAAUGGGACUCAUAAGGUUUCAGCACUAAACAUGUCACAGUUACUGGGUUGCACUGGAACCCUAUUGGCUUGACUUGCUCUUGUCCAACCAAGUUUUGAGGCAGGAAAAUUAUAACAAUUUGUUAAAACUUAAAAACUUAAAGCCUCAGCAGCCUCCAUUUUAAUAUACCUGUCAUGGGUAGAACUUGAAUUUUUAUGCCAGCUUCAGGAAACUUCUUUAUGUGCCUAAUAUAGAAUCACAAGAUAAAUUAGUAAUGUAAUGAAAAGUUAGUCCUGGAUUGCUGAUAAUGAAAAUAUCUUUCCAGUAAUUCUUCACUUGCAAGUAAUGUAAUUUUGAAUAAUAUUUUGAGGUUAAAAUUUGGUCUGUCUCUGAUAUGAAGUAGAUUCACCUGCCCAGGUUCAAACUGGGAUGCUGACUGUGUGAUAUUGGCAGUAAGGCAAUGACAUGUUAUUAUCAAUGGCAUUUAUUUAAAGGCUGAUUAAAUGGUAAAUGUAAUAUGACAGGAAAAAAUCAAAAUCAAAUUACAGUGUAUCAAUUCAUAUUAAUGCUCACUCCAUUUAAGUCAAAACAUUUUCUUUGAUGCAGACUUGGAGGGUCAGAAUAGCUUCUUAGAGUCUACAUUCACCUCUGAGAUGAGACUCUUUUUUCUUGUAAGUGCAGACUGACAUUCUUCCUUCACCAGCUCAAAAAUAACCUAGCAGCUGCACAGGAGUUGGAACCUUCUAAUUAGCUCUAAGAAGCCUGAAGGAAGGACGUAGCAGAUUUUGAGAAGAAAAAAUAAGUCAAUUGGAGCAAUAGAUUUUCUGAGUUUUGGACAUCUAAAAUUAAUUUUAGUUCUAAUAAUGUUAGUGGGUAUGUUGCCAUCCUCUUCACUUGAAAUGGCAUAUGGCCCUCCAUGAGGUGCCAUUUGGGAGGCUAUUAUAAGCAGUCUGGUAACUAGAAUUAAAGAUUCUUUACCACUAAUGGCUGAUUCUCAGCUGGACAGUGAAAGACAAAGUGAGGGAUAAAUGGUGAAGGAAAAAAAAGAGAUCAUUUUAAAGAAGUAUUUAAGAGUUGACUACAGCUCCUUUAUAGAUGUUAAGGAUUAUUGUGUAUUGUGUUAUCCCUUAAGAGAGGUUUAAAGUUUGGGUAUUUCAGUCAUUAAAAAAACAUCCAGGACUUUACAUAUUUUGAAAAAAUUGAUGUCUGUUGACUGUGUUGACCCUCUGUAACAAUAUCCUUGGGUUUUUCAACAAAAACCACUCUUCUGAAGGAUCUGCCCUUAUGUCUAAAACUGGUUGUUUAUUUAAACCAUAAUGUUUGCAAAACAGGAAGCAUCCAAAAUGAAAACUAUGUACUGAUGUAUUAAAGUGAAGUUUUUUUUUUUUCAAAAUAAAUAAAAUGGAAGGGCUUACAAGAUGAAUACCUUACUGAAGCAGAAAGCUGUGACGAACUUUUCAUUUUUCUACUAAGUGAAAAAAAAAAAAAAA
This 7885-nucleotide long non-coding RNA is filed under the name Taeniopygia guttata (zebra finch). RNAcentral's name for it is "lncRNA (ENSTGUG00000020674.1)". Lineage: Eukaryota; Metazoa; Chordata; Aves; Passeriformes; Estrildidae. The record is from RNAcentral.